This 253-nucleotide ribosomal RNA is filed under the name uncultured bacterium. RNAcentral describes it as "partial 16S ribosomal RNA". It matches the Rfam family "Bacterial small subunit ribosomal RNA", at positions 524 to 776 of the family's 1533-position model. The record is from RNAcentral.
UACAGAGGUCUCAAGCGUUGUUCGGAUUCAUUGGGCGUAAAGGGUGCGUAGGUGGCGCCGUAAGUCAGGUGUGAAAUUUCGGAGCUUAACUCCGAAACUGCAUUCGAUACUGCGGUGCUUGAGGACUGGAGAGGAGACUGGAAUUCAUGGUGUAGCAGUGAAAUGCGUAGAGAUCAUGAGGAAGACCAGUGGCGAAGGCGGGUCUCUGGACAGUUCCUGACACUGAGGCGCGAAAGCGUGGGGAGCAAACAGG